UACGUAGGGGGCCAGCGUUGCUCGGAAUUACUGGGCGUAAAGGGUUCGUAGGCGGUGCGGUAAGUUGGGAGUGAAAUCUCUGGGCUUAACCCAGAGGCUGCUUUCAAAACUGCCGUGCUCGAGUGCGAGAGAGGUCAGUGGAAUUGCAGGUGUAGCGGUGAAAUGCGUAGAUAUCUGCAGGAACACCCGUGGCGAAGGCGGCUGACUGGAUCGCAACUGACGCUGAGGAACGAAAGCUAGGGGAGCAAACAGG
RNAcentral lists this ribosomal RNA (253 nucleotides) under uncultured bacterium. Its description in RNAcentral is "partial 16S ribosomal RNA". It matches the Rfam family "Bacterial small subunit ribosomal RNA", at positions 524 to 776 of the family's 1533-position model. The record is from RNAcentral.